CCUACGGGUGGCUGCAGUGAGGAAUAUUGGUCAAUGGCCGGAAGGCUGAACCAGCCAAGCCGCGUGAGGGAGGAAGGCGCAGAGCGUCGCAGACCUCUUUUGCCGGGGGACAAAAGGCCGGACUCGUCCGGUCCUGAGGGUACCCGGAGAAAAAGCAUCGGCUAACUCCGUGCCAGCAGCCGCGGUAAUACGGAGGAUGCGAGGGUUAUCCGGAUUCAUUGGGUUUAAAGGGUGCGCAGGCGGGCCUUUAAGCCGGCGGUGAAAUCGCGGGGCUCAACCCCGUACUGCCGUUGAAACUGCAUCCCUUGAGUGCGCGAGAAGUAUGCGGAAUGCGUGGUGUAGCGGUGAAAUGCAUAGAUAUCACGCAGAACUCCGAUUGCGAAGGCAGCAUACCGGCGCGCAACUGACGCUCAUGCACGAAAGCGUGGGUAUCGAACAGGAUUAGAUACCCUUGUAGUC
Molecule: ribosomal RNA, 459 nt
Filed under: uncultured bacterium
Lineage: Bacteria
Description: partial 16S ribosomal RNA
Rfam family: Bacterial small subunit ribosomal RNA
Source: RNAcentral